Molecule: ribosomal RNA, 486 nt
Filed under: uncultured bacterium
Lineage: Bacteria
Description: partial 16S ribosomal RNA
Rfam family: Bacterial small subunit ribosomal RNA
Source: RNAcentral
GAUGAACGCUGGCGGCGUGCCUAAUACAUGCAAGUCGAACGCUGGAACUCUAGCUUGCUAGAUUGAAGGAGUGGCGAACGGGUGAGUAAUACAUAAGCAACCUACCCACGAAGACUGGGAUAAUCUCUGGAAACGGGGACUAAUACCGGAUAGGUAAUCGGAAGGCAUCUUCUGAUUAUUAAAGGUUAAAAACACUGGUGGAUGGGCUUAUGGCGCAUUAGUUAGUUGGUGAGGUAACGGCCCACCAAGACGAUGAUGCGUAGCCGGCCUGAGAGGGUGAACGGCCACAUGGGGACUGAGACACGGCCCAGACUCCUACGGGAGGCAGCAGUAGGGAAUUUUCGGCAAUGGGGGAAACCCUGACCGAGCAACGCCGCGUGAGUGAUGACGGCCUUCGGGUUGUAAAGCUCUGUUGUAAGGGAAGAACGGUAGAUAGAGAAUAUCUAAAUGACGGUACCUGACCAGAAAGCCACGGCUAACUACGUG